RNAcentral lists this ribosomal RNA (484 nucleotides) under uncultured bacterium. RNAcentral's name for it is "partial 16S ribosomal RNA". It matches the Rfam family "Bacterial small subunit ribosomal RNA", at positions 30 to 507 of the family's 1533-position model. The record is from RNAcentral.
AUUGAACGCUGGCGGCAGGCCUAACACAUGCAAGUCGAGCGGAUGAAGGGAGCUUGCUCCUGGAUUCAGCGGCGGACGGGUGAGUAAUGCCUAGGAAUCUGCCUGGUAGUGGGGGAUAACGUCCGGAAACGGGCGCUAAUACCGCAUACGUCCUGCGGGAGAAAGUGGGGGAUCUUCGGACCUCACGCUAUCAGAUGAGCCUAGGUCGGAUUAGCUAGUUGGUGGGGUAAAGGCCUACCAAGGCGACGAUCCGUAACUGGUCUGAGAGGAUGAUCAGUCACACUGGAACUGAGACACGGUCCAGACUCCUACGGGAGGCAGCAGUGGGGAAUAUUGGACAAUGGGCGAAAGCCUGAUCCAGCCAUGCCGCGUGUGUGAAGAAGGUCUUCGGAUUGGAAAGCACUUUAAGUUGGGAGGAAGGGCAGUAAGUUAAUACCUUGCUGGUUUGACGUUACCAACAGAAUAAGCACCGGCUAACUUCGUG